Molecule: long non-coding RNA, 1315 nt
Organism: Aedes albopictus (Asian tiger mosquito)
Lineage: Eukaryota; Metazoa; Arthropoda; Insecta; Diptera; Culicidae
Exons: 2
Source: RefSeq, a predicted model, not a curated record
AAAUACGAAAAAAAGAUAGUUUUGGUAAUGUCAAUGGAAUUAUUUAUGAUGUCUCUGUAGAUUAAAGGGUGGCCACUAAACUUCAGUUUUGGAACUCCCGUCUUUUUUCCCGGUAGGACUUUUCAACUUUUCCCGGUUUUUCAAAAUGGACAUUUUUGGAGUAUGUAAUUGGCUUCUUUAACGGUGUUGAGAUAAUUCGAUAUUCUGAAUCUGCAUGUCAAACUGAGCCGAAAUCCAAAUUUUCAUGAAUUUCGGUGCCUGGGAGCCCAUUUAAUAAUUAAUUUGAAGUUUGUAUGGGAGCGAUUUGUCGAAUCACCCCUCGUCGCAGUUUGUUCUGGGCGGAGCUGUCAAACAGUUGCCCAACUGUCAAAAAGUGAUUUCUAAAAAUCUCUUUGAAAUUGAUUUUAGGUGCCAAAAUAAUGUUCUAAAAAUCUGAAAAAAGUCAUAGUGGCUCAGAAAAAGGUGCUCUUUCGUAUAAAAUCAAAAAAACGAUACAAUUUUCAAAAUUUAAAAACCCAAUUAUUGAACUAGCAGUGAUCGCCCCGAAGAAUAGCAGAUUAAUUGGCAGCACUGCCAUAAACCAAAGUACAUCGAGUGUUUUGCUGUAAUAUUUUUAUUUAUAUGCACCUACUUUAGUAUUAAGCCAUCCGUUUCUGAUGAAACAUCGAAUAAACGUUCCGUAGUCUAUAGCACUAUUCCGUGUUUCUUUUGUGCAAUAAGGCACGUUCGGUGUAGUACUAGAUUUGUAGUAAUGAGCUGAAUUUUAGUAUGGUGAGAAGGUCAAUUCGGCACCUACAUUUCAAAAGGGCGUAACUGCAUGUUGAAAUCAGGCACGUGAUAUUGGAGAUAAGCACUGUCGCUGGAAGGUGGCAGCAGCUCUUCCUCUCUGGAGCCACCAUAUGUUGACGACGGGGCACUUACACUCCGUGUGGUGUUUCUGUCAGCUGCCGCGACGAUCACUUGGCGAUGACGACGACGACGAUGAUGGUAAUCACACCACAUCAGAUGCACGGUACCGUUGCGAAGGGAGACGGUAUUCGAUUCCGCGUGUGCCGAUCAACAGGCAAGAGAAACGCACUGAAUAAACUGUCGACGACCGAAACUACUUACUGAUACUCGGAGGAUUGAGUGGUAGAUAAUUAAAAUCGAUUGGUCCAAAUCGAAUAUGGGAGCAAUCAACUGGCCUUCCUAGAUCCGGUCAAAUUCUUUCGCAUUCGAAGACGUGACUUAGUCGGAUGAGGAAAAGUUGAUCGCAAUGCAUUUAUAUUUUUUCUAGACUCAUGCCAAAGUUACUCGCAUUCGGAACCGUGGCGUA